Molecule: ribosomal RNA, 253 nt
Filed under: uncultured bacterium
Lineage: Bacteria
Description: partial 16S ribosomal RNA
Rfam family: Bacterial small subunit ribosomal RNA
Source: RNAcentral
UACGUAGGGUGCAAGCGUUAAUCGGAAUUACUGGGCGUAAAGCGUGCGCAGGCGGUUGUGUAAGACAGAUGUGAAAUCCCCGGGCUCAACCUGGGAACUGCAUUUGUGACUGCACAGCUGGAGUGCGGCAGAGGGGGGUAGAAUUCCACGUGUAGCAGUGAAAUGCGUAGAUAUGUGGAGGAACACCGAUGGCGAAGGCAGCCCCCUGGGUCAAAACUGACGCUCAUGCACGAAAGCGUGGGGAGCAAACAGG